Molecule: ribosomal RNA, 465 nt
Filed under: Vreelandella stevensii
Lineage: Bacteria; Pseudomonadati; Pseudomonadota; Gammaproteobacteria; Oceanospirillales; Halomonadaceae
Description: partial 16S ribosomal RNA
Rfam family: Bacterial small subunit ribosomal RNA
Source: RNAcentral
CCUACGGGUGGCAGCAGUGGGGAAUAUUGGACAAUGGGGGGAACCCUGAUCCAGCCAUGUCGCGUGUGUGAAGAAGGCCCUCGGGUUGUAAAGCACUUUCAGUGAGGAAGAACGCCUGGUGGUUAAUACCCAUCAGGAAAGACAUCACUCACAGAAGAAGCACCGGCUAACUCCGUGCCAGCAGCCGCGGUAAUACGGAGGGUGCGAGCGUUAAUCGGAAUUACUGGGCGUAAAGCGCGCGUAGGUGGCUUGAUAAGCCGGUUGUGAAAGCCCCGGGCUCAACCUGGGAACGGCAUCCGGAACUGUCAAGCUAGAGUGCAGGAGAGGAAGGUAGAAUUCCCGGUGUAGCGGUGAAAUGCGUAGAGAUCGGGAGGAAUACCAGUGGCGAAGGCGGCCUUCUGGACUGACACUGACACUGAGGUGCGAAAGCGUGGGUAGCAAACAGGAUUAGAUACCCGAGUAGUC